RNAcentral lists this ribosomal RNA (254 nucleotides) under uncultured SAR86 cluster bacterium. Its description in RNAcentral is "partial 16S ribosomal RNA". It matches the Rfam family "Bacterial small subunit ribosomal RNA", at positions 1281 to 1532 of the family's 1533-position model. The record is from RNAcentral. Lineage: Bacteria; Pseudomonadati; Pseudomonadota; Gammaproteobacteria.
UGCUUUCGUAGUCCGGAUUGGAGUCUGCAACUCGACUCCAUGAAGUCGGAAUCGCUAGUAAUCGCGAAUCAGCAUGUCGCGGUGAAUACGUUCUCGGUUCUUGUACACACCGCCCGUCAUACCAUGGAAGUGGAUUGCACCAGAAGUAGAUAGUCUAACCUUAGGGAGGGCGUUUACCACGGUGUGCUUCAUGACUGGGUUAAAGGUCGUAACAAGGGUAGCCGUAGGGGAACCUGUGGCUGGAUCACCUCCUU